RNAcentral lists this transfer RNA (74 nucleotides) under Enterobacter roggenkampii. RNAcentral describes it as "tRNA-Pro". The record is from RNAcentral. Lineage: Bacteria; Pseudomonadati; Pseudomonadota; Gammaproteobacteria; Enterobacterales; Enterobacteriaceae.
CGGUACUUACGUUAAGUAAGGUCACCGUCAUGGGGUGUCGGGGGUCGGAGGUUCAAAUCCUCUCGUGCCGACCA